GAUGAACGCUGGCGGCGUGCCUAAUACAUGCAAGUCGAGCGGAGCGGGGACGGGUGAGUAACACGUGGAUAACCUUCGAUAAGACUGGGAUAACUUCGGGAAACCGGAGCUAAACCGGAUACUUUAUGAUGGAUCCGCGGUGCAUUAGCUAGUUGGUAAGGUAUCGGCUUACCAAGGAAACGAUGCAUAGCCGACCUGAGAGGUGGAUCGGCCACACUGGAACUGAGACACGGUCCAGACUCCUACGGUAGGCAGCAGUAGGGAAUCUUCCGCAAUGGGCGAAAGCCUGACGGAGCAACGCCGCGUGAGUGAUGAAGGUCUUCGGAUCGUAAAACUCUGUUAGUAGGGAAGCGGUACCUAAUCAGAAAGCAACGGCUAACUACGUGCCAGCAGCCGCGGUAAUAC
RNAcentral lists this ribosomal RNA (405 nucleotides) under uncultured bacterium. RNAcentral's name for it is "partial 16S ribosomal RNA". It matches the Rfam family "Bacterial small subunit ribosomal RNA", at positions 28 to 526 of the family's 1533-position model. The record is from RNAcentral.